UGGGGAAUAUUGGGCAAUGGAGGCAACUCUGACCCAGCAAUGCCGCGUGAGUGAAGAAGGUUUUCGGAUUGUAAAGCUCUUUAAGUGGGGACGAAGAAAGUGACUGUACCCACAGAAUAAGCAUCGGCUAACUACGUGCCAGCAGCCGCGGUAAUACGUAGGAUGCAAGCGUUAUCCGGAAUGACUGGGCGUAAAGGGUGCGUAGACGGUUUUGCAAGUUGGUAGCGUAAUCCCGGGGCUUAACUCCGGAACUACUACCAAAACUGCAAGGCUGGAGUGCGGUAGGGGUAUGUGGAAUUCCUAGUGUAGCGGUGGAAUGCGUAGAUAUUAGGAGGAACACCAGAGGCGAAGGCGACAUACUGGGCCGUAACUGACGUUGAGGCACGAAAGCGUGGGGAGCAAACAGG
This 407-nucleotide ribosomal RNA is filed under the name uncultured prokaryote. RNAcentral describes it as "bacterial SSU rRNA". It matches the Rfam family "Bacterial small subunit ribosomal RNA", at positions 355 to 776 of the family's 1533-position model. The record is from RNAcentral. RNAcentral also lists the same sequence under 1 other name.